This 263-nucleotide ribosomal RNA is filed under the name uncultured bacterium. RNAcentral's name for it is "partial 16S ribosomal RNA". It matches the Rfam family "Bacterial small subunit ribosomal RNA", at positions 91 to 354 of the family's 1533-position model. The record is from RNAcentral.
CGGACCGGCGCACGGGUGAGUAACACGUAUGGAACCUGCCCGCAGCAGGGGGAUAAGCGGAAGAAAUUCCGUCUAAUACCGCGUAACACCGCAGAGGGGCAUCCCUCGGCGGUUAAAGAUUCAUCGGCUGCGGAUGGCCAUGCGGCGCAUUAGCUAGUCGGCGGGGUAACGGCCCACCGAGGCGACGAUGCGUAGGGGUUCUGAGAGGAAGGUCCCCCACACUGGUACUGAGACACGGACCAGACUCCUACGGAAGGCAGCAG